CAUCGUGAGGUGGAAUCUGAAGGAAGCCGGCGGCAAAAGUCUGGCCUGACGGACAGAAAUCGCAUAUAAGGCCUACAUGUAGGGUAAGACUGCUAAUGAAGUCAAAGCCCGAUAGUCAUUCGGAAUACAUGUGGGUAAAUGCGGCAGGCAUAAAGCUGAAAGAG
This 164-nucleotide non-coding RNA is filed under the name pig gut metagenome. The record is from RNAcentral.